RNAcentral lists this small nuclear RNA (301 nucleotides) under Erinaceus europaeus (western European hedgehog). RNAcentral describes it as "7SK RNA". It matches the Rfam family "7SK RNA". Rfam says of the family: 7SK was discovered as an abundant small nuclear RNA in the mid-70s but a possible function has only recently been suggested. Lineage: Eukaryota; Metazoa; Chordata; Mammalia; Eulipotyphla; Erinaceidae. The record is from Rfam by way of RNAcentral.
UGAUGUGAGGGUGAUUUGGCUGUGACAUGUCGCCAGGGUUGAUUUGGCUGAUCUGGCUGGGUAGGCGGGUGUCCCCUUCCCCCCUCACUGCUCCAUGUGUCUCUCCCAAAGCUGCAUGCUCCGCUGAAAAGGAUGGCCUUCCCCAAGAGACCAACAAGUCUUCUGUCGAGGGUGUACAAGUAGUUGUGCUCCCCAGCUAGAACCUCCAAAUGAGAUAGAGACAGAAAGACACCUGCAACCCUACUCCACCACCUGCUUCCCCCCACCCCCGUAGGUGGGGACCAGGGGCUUGAACCUGGGU